This 76-nucleotide transfer RNA is filed under the name Ruminococcus sp. RNAcentral's name for it is "tRNA-Ala". It matches the Rfam family "tRNA". From Rfam's summary of the family: Transfer RNA (tRNA) molecules are approximately 80 nucleotides in length. Their secondary structure includes four short double-helical elements and three loops (D, anti-codon, and T loops). Lineage: Bacteria; Bacillati; Bacillota; Clostridia; Eubacteriales; Oscillospiraceae. The record is from RNAcentral.
GGGGCAUUAACGCAGUUGGGAGCGUGUCACACUGGCAGUGUGGAAGUCAGGGGUUCAAGUCCCCUAUGCUCCACCA